GUAAGUAUAAAUACUUUACUUUGAAACUGCGAACGGCUCAUUAUAUCAGUUAUAAUUUGUUUGAUAGUCCCUUACUACUUGGAUAACCGUAGUAAUUCUAGAGCUAAUACAUGCAUCAAUGCCCUUCGGGGUUGUAUUUAUUAGAAAGAGACCAACCCUUCGGGUUUUGUGGUGAAUCAUGAUAAAGUUGCGAAUCGCAUGGCUUUUGCCGGCGAUGGAUCUUGAGUGUACCUUGGCCGAGAGGCCUGGGAAAUCUUGUUAACCUGCAUCGUGAUAGGGAUAGAUUAUUGCAAUUAUUAAUCUUGAACGAGGAAUUCCUAGUAAACGCAGGUCAUCAACCUGCAUUGAUUACGUCCCUGCCCUUUGUACACACCGCCCGUCGCACCUACCGAUUGAAUGGUCCGGUGAAGCCUCGGGAUUGUGAUGAGUUUCCUUGAUUGGAGUUUGUCGCGAGAACUUGUCUAAACCUUAUCAUUUAGAGGAAGGUGAAGUCGUAACAAGGUUUCCGUAGGUGAACCUGCAGAAGGAUC
This 530-nucleotide ribosomal RNA is filed under the name uncultured eukaryote. RNAcentral describes it as "bacterial SSU rRNA". It matches the Rfam family "Eukaryotic small subunit ribosomal RNA", at positions 1354 to 1827 of the family's 1831-position model. The record is from RNAcentral.